Molecule: ribosomal RNA, 259 nt
Filed under: Naumovozyma dairenensis
Lineage: Eukaryota; Fungi; Ascomycota; Saccharomycetes; Saccharomycetales; Saccharomycetaceae
Description: partial small subunit ribosomal RNA
Source: RNAcentral
AUUAUUAUAUUAUUAAUUAAUAUAAUUAAUAGGAACUAAGACAAAUCAUAAUGACCCUUAUAAUAUGGGCUAUAGACGUGCUAUAAUAAAAUAAAAAUCAAGUUAUAUAAUAUUAUAAUCAAUCAUAAUAUAAUAAAUAACAAAAAAUAUUUUAAUCUUUAAUAUAUUUAUAUAUUAUAUAUAAUAUGAAUUAUUAUCUGUAAUUCGAUAAUAUGAAAUAAGAAUUGUUAGUAAUACAUAAAUUAGUAUGUUAUGGUGA